UCUCAUCACUUUUCCAAGCUAAACAAGCUUGGGCUGGGUCAGUUCGUGGUGGGGAGACCUCCAAGGGAAAUCUGGGGUGUUGGGAA
This 86-nucleotide ribosomal RNA is filed under the name Cyanistes caeruleus (blue tit). The record is from RNAcentral. Lineage: Eukaryota; Metazoa; Chordata; Aves; Passeriformes; Paridae.